GUGGCGAACGGGUGAGUAUACAUCGGAACGUGCCCAGUAGUGGGGGAUAGCCCGGCGAAAGCCGGAUUAUACCGCAUACGACCUACGGGUGAAGCGGGGAUCGCAGACCUCGCGCUAUUGGAGCGGCGAUGUCAGAUACUAGUUGGUGGGGUAAAGCUACCAGCGACGAUCUGUACUGGUCUGAAGGACGACCAGCCACACUGGGACUGAGACACGGCCAGACUCCUACGGGGAGGCAGCAGUGGGGAAUUUUGGACAAUGGGGGCAACCCUGAUCCAGCCAUGCCGCGUGCGGGAAGAAGGCCUUCGGGUUGUAAACCGCUUUUGUCAGGGAAGAAACGGUCUGCGCUAAUACCGCGGACUAAUGACGGUACCUGAAGAAUAAGCACCGGCUAACUACGUGCCAGCAGCCGCGGUAAUACGUAGGUGCGAGCGUUAAUCGGAAUUACUGGGCGUAAAGCGUGCGCAGGCGGUUGGGUAAGUCAGAUGUGAAAUCCCCGGGCUCAACCUGGGAACUGCAUUUGAGACUGCCCAGCUGGAGUUUGGCAAGGGGGGUGGAAUUCCACGUGUAGCAGUGAAAUGCGUAAGAUGUGGAGGAACA
Molecule: ribosomal RNA, 600 nt
Filed under: uncultured bacterium
Lineage: Bacteria
Description: bacterial SSU rRNA
Rfam family: Bacterial small subunit ribosomal RNA
Source: RNAcentral